RNAcentral lists this ribosomal RNA (418 nucleotides) under bacterium enrichment culture clone ALO1_GLFRUDD03GUNYL. RNAcentral's name for it is "bacterial SSU rRNA". It matches the Rfam family "Bacterial small subunit ribosomal RNA", at positions 9 to 429 of the family's 1533-position model. The record is from RNAcentral.
GAGUUUGAUCCUGGCUCAGAUUGAACGCUGGCGGCAUGCCUUACACAUGCAAGUCGAACGGCAGCACGGGAGCUUGCUCCUGGUGGCGAGUGGCGAACGGGUGAGUAAUGCAUCGGAACGUAUCCUGGAGUGGGGGAUAACGUAGCGAAAGUUACGCUAAUACCGCAUAUUCUGUGAGCAGGAAAGCGGGGGACCUUCGGGCCUCGCGCUCUUGGAGCGGCCGAUGUCGGAUUAGCUAGUUGGUGAGGUGAAGGCUCACCAAGGCGACGAUCCGUAGCAGGUCUGAGAGGAUGAUCUGCCACACUGGAACUGAGACACGGUCCAGACUCCUACGGGAGGCAGCAGUGGGGAAUUUUGGACAAUGGGGGCAACCCUGAUCCAGCCAUGCCGCGUGAGUGAAGAAGGCCUCGGUUGUAAG